UGGGGAAUCUUCCGCAAUGGGCGCAAGCCUGACGGAGCAACGCCGCGUGAGUGAAGAAGGUUUUCGGAUCGUAAAGCUCUGUUGAGAGGGGCGAGAGGCAAGGCUAGGAAAUGAGCUUUGUAGGACGGUACCUUUCGAGGAAGCCACGGCUAACUACGUGCCAGCAGCCGCGGUAAUACGUAGGUGGCGAGCGUUGUCCGGAAUUAUUGGGCGUAAAGGGAGCGCAGGCGGCGUCGUAAGUCGGUCUUAAAAAGUGCGGGGCUUAACCCCGUGAGGGGACCGAAACUGCGAUGCUAGAGUAUCGGAGAGGAAAGCGGAAUUCCUAGUGUAGCGGUGAAAUGCGUAGAUAUUAGGAGGAACACCAGUGGCGAAAGCGGCUUUCUGGACGACAACUGACGCUGAGGCGCGAAAGCCAGGGG
RNAcentral lists this ribosomal RNA (419 nucleotides) under uncultured Anaerovibrio sp. RNAcentral's name for it is "bacterial SSU rRNA". It matches the Rfam family "Bacterial small subunit ribosomal RNA", at positions 355 to 766 of the family's 1533-position model. The record is from RNAcentral. Lineage: Bacteria; Bacillati; Bacillota; Negativicutes; Selenomonadales; Selenomonadaceae.